Molecule: long non-coding RNA, 112 nt
Organism: Ornithodoros turicata
Lineage: Eukaryota; Metazoa; Arthropoda; Arachnida; Ixodida; Argasidae
Exons: 3
Source: RefSeq, a predicted model, not a curated record
UGAAAGUUGUCUUUCUCAGUUUUCUCGAGUUUUGAAGAUGAUGAUGAUAGUGUAUUCACGUCGAGCCCUGUGUUUUACUUCGAAGACGCGCCUGAGUCGCCACCACCAAGCU